AGUGAACGCUGGCGGUAGGCCUAACACAUGCAGGUCAAACGGCAGCACAGGAGAGCUUGCUCUCUGGGUGGCGAGUGGCGGACGGGUGAGGAAUACAUCGGAAUCUACUUUUUCGUGGGGGAUAACGUAGGGAAACUUACGCUAAUACCGCAUACGACCUACGGGUGAAAGCAGGGGACCUUCGGGCCUUGCGCGAUUGAAUGAGCCGAUGUCGGAUUAGCUAGUUGGCGGGGUAAAGGCCCACCAAGGCGACGAUCCGUAGCUGGUCUGAGAGGAUGACAAGCCACACUGGAACUGAGACACGGUCCAGACUCCUACGGGAGGCAGCAGUGGGGAAUAUUGGACAAUGGGCGCAAGCCUGAUCCAGCCAUACCGCGUGGGUGAAGAAGGCCUUCGGGUUGUAAAGCCCUUUUGUUGGGAAAGAAAUCCAGCUGGCUAAUACCCGGUUGGGAUGACGGUACCCAAAGAAUAAGCACCGGCUAACUUCGUGCCAGCCGCCGCCGUAA
RNAcentral lists this ribosomal RNA (506 nucleotides) under uncultured bacterium. Its description in RNAcentral is "partial 16S ribosomal RNA". It matches the Rfam family "Bacterial small subunit ribosomal RNA", at positions 29 to 523 of the family's 1533-position model. The record is from RNAcentral.